AUUUGCUAGCUCUCAUUGAGGUUUUUACCAUCUAUUGUCAAAAUAAUCUUGUGGGGAUCACACAAAUUACUCAAGUUUUUCCAGAUACUAACAUUGGUUAAUCAAGAUAAUGACAAAACUGCACUUCAGGUAUAUGUUUUUGUCAAAAUAUGAUGCUAUAAUAUAAAGAGUACAAAAAUCUUGAUGCACCAGUUUGGUUUGUUUAAACUGUAACCUGAUACUUGAUCGUUUCUUAUUAGCCUUGUGAAAAGGUAUAUAACUAAACAACUUGUUGAAUUACAUGGGUCUUCAAGCCGUUACUUACAGAGGUUUAUGAUUUUGCAUCUGCUAUUUAUCCAGUUGAAUAAUGCCGUCUCUGAUGGGAGUUCAGUACAUGAUACAGUGUAUAUGCUCUUUAAUGGAUUGUAGAAGUUAAUGGGAAACUAACUCUUAAUGUAACAAAGGUACAUAUUAUAAAGGCUUUUAUUAAUGAGGUCACAAUGGAUAUGGUUUAGCAUGUUGUGAUCUAGAGUUGAUUAAAAUUUCUAAUAUUUUCAUUUUUAUAUUCAUAAAAAGAUUUAAGGGUGUGUUGAUGACUAUUGAACCCGUAUAUUAUUGUUGCUUUUGAUUGUAAUUUAAAUUUUCCUACCCGGGUAUCUACCCGGGGAAUAACCUAGUUUAUAUAUUAUUAAUAUGAAUGAAAUUACCUAUUACAUUACAUAUAACAGUGUAUACAUAUAAUAAUUUCUAUAAUUGUUUAUCUUUUAAAUCUAACUUUUAUUUAAAAUAAAUCUCUAAGACCUCAAUUAUGUUUGCAAAAAUCAUUAUUUAAGUUGUUCUUUUUCUCUGUAUUGAUAAAAAGUCAAUUUUAUUAGUAUGACAUAAAUUAGGUUGUUAUUCUUACUAAUAAUUGUUAUGCAGAUUUAAUUAAUAAAUAAUUAUUGUAAAGUUAUGAUAUAAGUUAAAGGUUUAUAUAUGAUGAAUAAAAUUUUUUCAUUAUUAAAGGUUAAUUGGCUAUGUCACAAAUGAAUAUAAAAUGAUAUUAAUAUAUUUCUUACUAAACACAUUUAUUAAUCAUAAAUCGGUGUAGCUACAAACCUUAAUAUUAUCUCAUCUAUAAAACUUCAAAACGUUAAGUUAUAUGGUUAGUUGCUCUUUUUUAGCUUUUAUUCAUAUGUUAGAAAAACUUAUAUAUCGACUUUCUAUAUAAUCUCAGACAUGGAUGGCAACUUUUUUUUUUAAUUUAAACUAUUUUUUUAAGAAAUACUAAAAUCAUAGUUUUUAAAAUUAUAGAUCAUUUAUGUAUAUAUUUUAAUCAUAAAUUUAUAUAUUAUUAAUGAGUUAAAGAUGAAAUUGCCAUGUGGCAUUAAUUGGAAAUAGGUAAGAGGAGAUAAUGCCACUUGGCAUUAGAUGUAAUCAACAAUCAGUUAAAGUUGUAUUUUGUCGGAAAGAUCAACUGAGUAACAUGUUUCAUUUAAAAAAACAAAAAAGUGAAAUGACCAAAUGUGUUAGAAGUAUUUGAAUGCUUAAAAUGUUCUUAAUCGUUUUAUUAAAAAGAAAUCUUAUAUCAUACUUUUGAUAAUAUGUUUUCGCUACUCAUAACAAUACAUCAAACAUUACAAAAUGUAUAUAUAAAAAAGUGAAUGCACAAAAGGUGUUUAAACGUUGCCCUAACAUGACUCAAAUCCUUUUGACCCGUAAAAAAAUCACCUGUUUUGGCAUGAACCCGUUACAACCAGAAAAGAAAGAUAAAUAAGAUUCAAAUACUUCC
This 1750-nucleotide long non-coding RNA is filed under the name Helianthus annuus (common sunflower). Its description in RNAcentral is "hypothetical non coding rna". The record is from RNAcentral. Lineage: Eukaryota; Viridiplantae; Streptophyta; Magnoliopsida; Asterales; Asteraceae.